Molecule: non-coding RNA, 73 nt
Organism: Ailuropoda melanoleuca (giant panda)
Lineage: Eukaryota; Metazoa; Chordata; Mammalia; Carnivora; Ursidae
Source: Rfam
ACCUGGCUGGGUCAGUCAGUAGAGCAUGAGACUCUUGAUCUCAGGCCCAUGAGUUCAAGUCCCAUGUUGGGCA